UUGGGCAACACCUAUUCUAAAACUGGAACAAUACAGAGAAGAUUAGCAUGGCCUUGGGCAGGGUAACAAGCAAAUUGGUGAAGCAAUCCAUAUUUAC
RNAcentral lists this small nuclear RNA (97 nucleotides) under Meriones unguiculatus (Mongolian gerbil). The record is from RNAcentral. Lineage: Eukaryota; Metazoa; Chordata; Mammalia; Rodentia; Muridae.